GCCGGGCGUGGUGGCGCGCGCCUGUAGUCCCAGCUACUCGGGAGGUUGAGGUGGGAGGAUCGCUUGAGUCCAGGAGUUCUGGGCUGCAGUGCGCUAUGCCGAUCGGGUGUCCGCACUAAGUUCGGCAUCAAUAUGGUGACCUCCCGGGAGCGGGGGACCACCAGGUUGCCUAAGGAGGGGUGAACCGGCCCAGGUCGGAAACGGAGCAGGUCAAAACUCCCGUGCUGACCAGUAGUGGGAUCGCGCCUGUGAAUAGCCACUGUACUCCAGCCUGGGCAAUAUAGUGAGACCCCGUCUCUU
RNAcentral lists this signal recognition particle RNA (300 nucleotides) under Fukomys damarensis (Damara mole-rat). RNAcentral's name for it is "Metazoan signal recognition particle RNA". It matches the Rfam family "Metazoan signal recognition particle RNA". Rfam says of the family: The signal recognition particle (SRP) is a universally conserved ribonucleoprotein. It is involved in the co-translational targeting of proteins to membranes. Lineage: Eukaryota; Metazoa; Chordata; Mammalia; Rodentia; Bathyergidae. The record is from Rfam by way of RNAcentral.